UGCAAGGAAUACAAGCUAGCAUCACCUGUUCUAACUCCUAAUGUUUUCAGUCAAAUGUCUAGUUAUCAAGUGCAGACGGCCCAGAUGUGUAUCCGGCCCCCUGCAUGAACCAGCGGCUGCUCUCUGAGGCUCACUUUCCUCCUCUGGAAAAUAAGUUGCAGCAUAUCAGAUUUUCAUGCUAACCACUACUAAAAAAAAAAUCAGUGCCUAUAAGGACAAUAUGAUAUAAAACCUGUCAACAGAGACCAGUUUUGCCCACAUUCCAGCAAGCACAAUGAAGAAGGAUGAUUAUAGGUGUAGACAAGUUUCACCAUUCAAACAAGGAACUUAAAUACAAAACAAAAAUUACAGGUUGAUCUUCAAGAUACAUCUUUUUUUUUUAAUCUACAAAGUUGGGUUUUUUUUUUAUAUGAAGAUUAUAAUUUUCCCCUUAAACAAGUAUUAUCAAAGCCGACAUUUCCCAAGACCGUAACAGUUGAAAGAGCAUGUUUGCCAAGCUUUGGGGUUUCAGUCCCCCAAAUUCAUCAUGUUCUCCUUUUCCCAUGCCAGCAAGGGCAGAUCUCUCUGCCAAUUUCACCCACUCUAGAAAAUUGGGAAAUAGGAAAUUCCUUUUACUUUUCUGUUAAAAUCCUUGUCAAUAUGUAUCAUUCCUCGCUGGAGAUUCAUGGUUAAAUAUAUUUGGCAAGUGCUACCCCUCUCCCCCUCAGCUCCCACCAGAGACGUUGAAAGGCUGUUCUAGAUGAAAGCAUGAGAGUGAAUUCUGAUGGCCCUGAAGUGUGUUGAGCAUCGAGGGCCUGUACGGUUUGUACACGUCUGUCAUCUCGUUUCUUUUCAUCUUCAUGCCAAACCUGUAAGGUCGGUAUUAUUAGCCGCUCAUUACAUAAAAGGAAACUGAGGAUCAUGGUUUUUCUGUUUAUUAGAGCUAAUUAACUGCAAAAUUUGGAUCUCUUCGUACCACAUGUCAUUUUAAGGCAGUCUCCCAGGCAAUGAAUAGGCUCUAAAUAGUUUUGUCACCAUAUUGUCCCUUAAGCAGCUUUAAAUUCGCAACCAACAUAUCUGGAUUUGAAUCCUGGCUCUAUGUCUUAUGAACUGUGUGAUCCUAGGCAAGGGUUUUAGCUGUUAGAAGCUUCAUUUUUAUCUGAAAAAUGGAUAUAAUGAUCCCUUCAUGGGAUAGCUGGGCACACUUUCUAAUAUUUAUAUGAGGUGGUAAAUAGUGGCCCUCUUCUGCUCUUUCCUUUCUGUUUCAGGUCCUUGGCAAACAUUCCAAACUCUCUUUUGUUCUUCCUGGAAAAACCUCUGUUGUCCAUGAAAUUGUUAAUGAUUUUCAGAUAUAUCCCAAGUAAAGCCCAAAUCCUUGACUCUUGUGUUAAGUGUCCAAAUACCUUGAGAUACGCCUCGCUAAUUUCCACCCAAAACACUUCAUGAUUUAAAUAAACAUAGUUCUACCUUGCUUUAGUUAAACAAGCUGCCAUCCAAUGUUUAGGAAGAAGUGAAAAAUGAUAUGGUGUUAGUUGGAGUGGGGAGUGGGUAAUUAAUAUUUUUAUUUUUAAUAUCAUAAAAAGUAGUCCCCACCUCACCCCCACCCCCACAGUGUUUAAAAUUUGUAUUCAAUUACAUCAUGCUUGUCAUUAAAUUAUUUCUGAAACCUCAGCACUGCUUUUCAGAACUGUUUGGGAAAUAACCAAGCAAUUUCAC
Molecule: long non-coding RNA, 1695 nt
Organism: Zalophus californianus (California sea lion)
Lineage: Eukaryota; Metazoa; Chordata; Mammalia; Carnivora; Otariidae
Exons: 3
Source: RefSeq, a predicted model, not a curated record